This 468-nucleotide ribosomal RNA is filed under the name uncultured bacterium. RNAcentral's name for it is "partial 16S ribosomal RNA". It matches the Rfam family "Bacterial small subunit ribosomal RNA", at positions 28 to 507 of the family's 1533-position model. The record is from RNAcentral.
GACGAACGCUGGCGGCGUGCUUAACACAUGCAAGUCGAACGGAAAGUCCCUGCUUUUUUGCGCUGCUCUAGUUGCGAACUGGUGAGUUACACUUGAGUUACCUGCCCUUGCCUUUGGGAUAACUUCAUGCAACUUGGGCUAAUACCGGAUAGGAGCUCCUGCUUCAUGGUGGGGCUUGGAUAGUUUCGGCGGUUGGGGAUGGACUCGCGUCUUAUCAGCUUGUUCGUUGGGUAGUGGCUUACCAAGGCUUUGACGGGUAGCCGGCCUGAGAGGGGAACCGGACAAACUACGACUGAGAUACGACACAGACUCGAACGGGACGCAGCAGAGGAGAGGAGUGCACAAGGGGCGGAAGGAUGAUGCAGCAAAGCAGCGUGGGGGAAGACGGGAAUCGGGUUGGAAACCGAUGUCGCCUGUGACGAAGCGUGAGUGACGGUAACGGGUAAAGAAGCACCGGCUAACUACGUG